UUUAAGGGCUAUCUUGGGGAGACAGAACGUCCUUUGGAUGAAGAUUCCUUCCUGAGAAGGAGUGUUCCACAACUUGGGAUCCUCAUCACCAGCUGCGUGACAUGGAGCCCAUAUAAGUUUCAAGAGGUUACAUGAGGACUACAGAAGGCUAAUAGCAUGGUAACAGCUGCUAGCACAGAGAUGUAAGCAAUACAAACAUCAGAUUCAUGCAGUUUGGCCAGCUUGUUGCCAAGGAUGUCAGACUCCUGAGUGAUGGAGAGAGCUUCGCCACAGUCAGCAUUGUCUCCAGCUUCCAAAGGGCUGCUCCUUAGAGUUCCCACUGCAGGCAGCUCUCAUGUAUACCUGAGUAGACUGGGGUCUGCAUGUCAGCAGUAUGCCUCAUCAGGGUCUUGAAGGAAUAACCCGUUUUGCACAAUCAUUGUCAUGAUGGGAGAAGAAAAUGUACUGACUUUUUUUUCUUUUUUU
Long non-coding RNA from Tympanuchus pallidicinctus (lesser prairie-chicken), 465 nucleotides. RefSeq lists it as uncharacterized. The record is from RefSeq and is a predicted model, not a curated record. Lineage: Eukaryota; Metazoa; Chordata; Aves; Galliformes; Phasianidae. The transcript is spliced from 3 exons.